This is an RNA transcript of Orussus abietinus, 5111 nucleotides long. RefSeq lists it as uncharacterized. The record is from RefSeq and is a predicted model, not a curated record. Lineage: Eukaryota; Metazoa; Arthropoda; Insecta; Hymenoptera; Orussidae. The transcript is spliced from 22 exons.
GAACUAUCGAUCUCGCGCGGAAAAGUUCCCGGCGGUACCUUUGACACGUAUACUUCGAAAUUAAAUGUCUCCGAAGUUGUUCCAAUCGUCUCCAGGAAAUUUCCUUGACGAAGUUUCGACAUGAAUCUCGCGAACGUGAGGCAGUGGCUGCAACGGGGGGACCUAGAAAAAUUGGAGAACGUCGUCCUGGAAGGACGAGGGGCUCGACUACUGGGAGAACACUCUCCGGACCUAAGAACCCGCGUUUUUCUCAAAGGACUACCGAAUUACCUGACGAAGAUCAGCCAGGUCCACGACGCCGUAACGAGAGGAUCCUUGGCAGAGACUCAGAGGAUAAUCUCGGAGGAGCCGAAGAAAAAAUUGGCGCUAUCGAAGGAUCCCUCUGGCACCCCUUUGGUCCACAAGGCCGUCUACCAUGAUCACCAGGACAUCGUGCAGUGGCUCAUCGAGCAGUAUCCUGAAGUCACCCGUCAAAGAGACAGGGAAGGGCGCAGUGCGCUGCACUACUGCGCAGCGUGUGGAGACCCCGACUCGGCGUGGGACGUACUCGUCGAGGGUGGCUGCGACUCCUCGAUCUGCGACAAGAAGGGAAAUCCCGCAGCCUACUACCUGGAGAAUUCUUCGGAAAUCGAGCUCCCCGAGUCGGAAAGGAUGCCCCAGAGAAGAAAACCCGGAGGAAAGGAGGAAAAACCCCGUUCCAUCCUUUCAGCCCUGGACUUCAAGCCAUCCAAUAUCAGAAUCUGGAUCCACAAUCGGGACAUCGGGAAACUCCAGCAGGUCCUGUGGGAGGGCCACGGAGGAAAACUCAGGUGUGAGACCAGCAACAACCCUCGGGUCAGGAAAUUCCUGGAGGCCGUUCCUUUCAUCAUGGGCACCAUAAAGGAUAUCCAUGGUGCGGCGAUCGGGAACGACGUCCAGAAGUUCCAGGAAAAAAUCGCCGAUCCCGUUUCCCCGGUGAUUCUGGGUAGCAAGGACUCGAACGGACUUACCGCUCUACACAAGGCUGCGGGACUGGGACACACGGAAAUAGCCCAGAUAAUAAUCGACAAGUAUCCUGCUGGCAUGAACGUGCAGGACAACGAGGGAAGGACUCCCUUACACUAUGCGGCAGCCGCGAAAGACGGAGGGGUGGUUUACAAUUUGUUAGUGCAAAAUGGAGCGGACGACAGCAAGCUGGACAAUAAGCAGAAAGCAGCGGCUUUUUACAAGAAUCGACCCUCGGACGUGGACGGAUCGAACCUGACGGUGCUUCCCGAAGCUCCUCGGGUCCAUGGAAAUACGUAUCCCAAAGGAUGGGACUGGAGGAUCCUGGAAGCCGAGGGGAUCGCCGCUCGCGUCCCGAAGAGAUCCCCGAAGAGGUCCCCCGACGGCGCGUUCGGGGCUGCAGGGAUCUCAGAAGUCACCCCUGAAGAGGACCAACGCGAGGAUUCGGGGGGCCGGGAGGAUUUUAAGGACGAUCUGGUGGAACAGAUUAAGCGAGCGGACGAGGAACUGACGAGGGAAGUCGAGAGGGAGGAGGAACACUCCGAGGAACCCGAGCCGGAGCCGGAAGCGACCCCGGAAAGGACGUCGGAAGUCGACGGUCGAGAAGACGAGGCGGAAACCGAGGAACCCGAAGAACCAUCCACGGACGACGACGUAGUCCUGGGCACUGGUCCUACCAAUCACGAAGAGAAUCCCGAAGAACCAGGGAACCAAGGCGAAGAGGACGAAAAAUCCGAAGCCACGCGAGAUCCUCAGGACCCAGAAUGGACCGAAGUCGACCAGGAGGUCCCGGACCCUGGAACGGGCGACUCCGGCGUGGACGUUCCUGCCCAGGACGAAGACCAGGUCAUCGAGGGAGAGCACGAGGAGCUCGCCGAGGCCGAGCUGAACGAGGGUAGUAUGUCGGCGGACCCGGAAGUGCAGGACCUCCUGGAGAACGGGAGCAUGGAGCAGCUGGCCGCUCUCGUCCUCAACGGGGAAGGACGUCGCCUCGUCGGCAGGCAGUCCGGCAACCCCGAGCUCCAGGCCUUCAUCGACAACGUCCCCUCCUACAUGGGGAAGAUCCACGCGGUGCACAUGGCAGCCAGGGAGGGCAACCUGCGAGACCUGCAGAGUGCCCUGGACAGGCGCAAAUUCGCCAUCGCGAGGGACGGAUCCUCCCCCCAUGGCGCCACCCCGCUUCACGUGGCCGUCGUCUUUGGUCGCACCUCCGUGGUCAGGUACCUGGCAGGCAGGUUUCCGGAGACGACGCACGCGGUCGACUUGGACGGCAGGACCCCGCUGCACUACGCCGCGACCUUGGCCGAUAACGGGCACUACUACAAUUUACUGAUACGCCUGGGCGCCAAUCCCCUCGUCCAAGACAACUUCGAGCACACGGCGGAGUUCUAUCAGCGAGACCACGAGGACCUCUCUCACAGGAAACUCCUGCGGGACUUCGGGGCCUCCGAGAAGCUCGCCGAGGAGAUGCUGACGGACAAAGUGCCAGGAGGCGACGCGGUUUCGGCCCGGCGCGACGUGGACGAGGCGGAGACGCUGGCGACGCUGGAGCGGUGCUUUCGGCUCCUGGGGAGCACGAGGCGGGGCGCCGCCCGAGCCCCGGGGACCCCCGGUACACCGCUGGGUCGGCUGCUGACGAGGCCCGUCUUCGACGGCAUCAAGCACCGAGUGACUCGCAUGGACCACAAUCUGUUCGACGUGAUCUGGCCGGCGCUGCGGAGGUGGGGGGGCGCGGGCUCGGGGGGGUCGGCGGAGUCUCUGGGUUCGGGGGGUCCGGGAGAGGACACGUUCCCGGGGGGGCCCGUUGUGGCUCCGGACUUCGAGAGCUAUUUCGUCUUCCAAGAGCUGUUCGACCCCCUCCUGCGCGAGCUACACCUGUUGACGGCCACCGGGGACCUGCCGGACCAGCCCGAGCCCCUCUUCGUCGCGGAGGGGCCCGGGCCCCCGGACAAUCUGGACCCCGGAGGGCGACACGUGCUGGCCGGGGCAGUGGAGUGCAGUCGCAACCUGGAGGCCUUCUGCCUCCCUCCGGGCCUGACGGAGUCGCAGCUCGAGGAGGUCGAGCGAUAUAUGAGGUCUCGACUGGCGGGCCCCGAGUUCGAGAUCGCCGCGGGCGGCAGGGGGGUCUACCACCCCUUGAGGGAGAUCCUGGAGCUCGGAAUGGAGGCCAGCGAGCUGGGGGCCCGCUUGGCGGCCGCAGGCCUCGCGCUGCCCCUGGAGGAGCUGACGGGCCCCGAUUCGCGUCGCCUUCACGGGCCCCAUUGGCCCAGAGGGAGGGGCGUCUUCGUCUUCGGAGAAGGUCGAAUGGCCGUUUGGAUCAACGUGAGGGAACACCUGAGGAUCGUCUGCGCCACCGACCGGGCCCAUCCCGGUCGGCUCGUGGAGGCCUUUCGUACUCUGGAGAGGGCCCUGGAGGUCCUGGGCCGAGGGGCCCCUUUUCGCUGGGACAGGAAGCUCGGGUUUCUGGGGUCCAGGCCCGUGGCUCUGGGAAACACUCUUCGGUUCCUCUUGCUCGUUCGCCUGCCCCGGCUCUCCAGGGACGGCAAGAGCUUCGCGCAUCUGUGCGCCGCCCGCGGUCUCUGGGCCCGACCCUCUCCUCGCAGGACCGACACCUUGGAAGUCGGGAACCUGCAGUGCCUCUCUCUCACCGAGGCUCAGACUCUCGGCGAUUUCUCGCGAGCGCUCCUCAACGUCCUCGCCCUGGAGCGCGAGGCCGCCCUCGGGAACCCCCUCCAGAUCGCCAACCUCCUCGCCCGAGUCGUUCGCAAGCGACUCCCCAACUCCAGACGCAGCUCCAGGGUCGAGUGAUCGUCCCCGGAGCCGGCGCGGUCCUUCUCCUGUUUGGGUUCCCCGAGGACGCUUUCGAAGGACAGCCAGAUGGACGCCCCGAUCUUCCGAACGGAGGAGGGUCGCUACUUGGCCUCGUCUCUGGGUGAUCCGCUGAUAAAGGGCCUGACCGAGGUCGCCAAUACUCGCCCGAAGGAUCCCGUGACCUAUCUGGCCACGUACUUGUACAAUUUUGCAAGUAAAAAUAAACCCGGCCAAGAGACGCAGGAAUCGAACGUCCUGAUAAUCCCGGAGAGGCGUCAGGAGGGAGGCAGGAAUCACGAUGAGGGUGCCGAAGAGGACGCGGGGUACCCGCGGAGCCCCGACUCGGACGUCCCGGAGUCCGUCUUCAACGGGGCAAACAGGGACGAGCACGGGCAGAGCAUGAUCCAUUUCGCGGUGGUCCGUCCUCACGCGAAGGACGGGCUGUUUCACCUUCUUCAGGAAGCCCAGGUGAAUAUCGCGUACAGAGACGAGGUGUAUCGCACCCCUAGGGACGUGGCGGAACAGGCAAACAUCCGCGACAACGUCGAGGAAAUCGAUCGCUGGGUGGUCUACCUGGCGGCGAGAGGAGAGAUGGAGAAGCUGGUGGAGCUCCUCCUCGAGGGUUACGACCACAUUCUGGAUGCCGAUGACGGAGGCGCGAGCAUAGUGGACGUGGCCAACGAACGAGGCCACGAGGCGACGGUCCAGUUCUUGGAGUCGAUCCCGGAUUACGUGACCAGGAGAGAGGAGGUGCAUCAGGCGAUCCGCAGGGGAGACCUGGCGAAGGUGAAGGAGCUGUUCGACAGCAACGGAGGAGGCGGAAAGCUGCUGGCCGUUGGCAAGAACGUCUUCGGCCGAUGCGCCCUCCACAUCGCCGUCCUCGGAGAGCACGCCGACAUCGUGCGACUCAUCGUCGGCAUGUACCCGGAGACCCUGCGGACUGGCGACAACCUGGAGAGGACCGCUCUUCACUACGCCAUGGGAGUGCCUUCCGUGGAGACCAUGAGCAACAUCCUCAUCAAGGCCGGAGCAAAGAGGGUGGAGAAGGACCUGAAAGCGAGACAACCCUCCUACUACUUCAUGAACAAGUCCGACAUCCAGAGGCUGCAGGAGGAGGAGGAAACCAUGGUGGUCUCGUGAGAACGAGGGAGUCCGUAAAAGGUGCCAGACAACCGAGAGAGAGAUUAUUUAUCUACCAAUUUAUUUAUAAGUAGUAACGAUUCGUUGAGUUCGUCCCGAAUCAGCUGAUCGCGGCGAGUAGAAGAAGCAGCUCGAGUGCGCGGGGAAUCGCCUCCUAAUAAAUAUCUCAAAUUCAA